AGUGUCUGUAACAUGCCCAAGUGGGGGUGACGGUGGUCCCUGGAGCAUGAGCUUUGACGUUGGGGAACACCCCAGCCCCCUCGCAGUACCCAGGUUCUCAAGGUCACUUUCUCCCUCAGUCCUGCCUCACAUCAGCCUUCAAGAAGCAUGUUCUGCUUCCCCCAUAUCCUUACUCGCAUCAAGAUGAUCAGACCCAGAGAUGGCAAAGGCCUCAUGCCUAAAAGCCCGAGCCCUGGGAGGGGAGGGGCGUGGCGGGGUGCAUGUCCCGAGUCCAGUCUCCCAGGGCCGGACUGAUGCUAGCUGCGCAGUCCUCACUCUGGGUGGGCGACUCUUGGAAGGAGCUGCUUCCAUCAGGGCCACAUUCAGUUUGCUAGAAAUAGAGACAGAGGGUUUCUCGACUUUGCAUAUGAUUUGCAUAAUGUCGUAGACACAGUCUAUUUUCAGGCAGUUUUCAGGUUAAAGUGUUGUCGCUGCUGCCCUGCAGGGUGUCACGUCUGGAUGAGUCUCUUCUCUGUUCUUUCUCACCCACCCACUCUUACUGACCUAGAUCCCCGCUGCAGGAGCAAGUGGUAGGGUGGGGGGAGAGUGGGUUGUCCAGGGAGACACGGGGACAGGGCAGGAGGCACACUGGAAUUUCCUUUAUUACCGCCAUCACCAAAGGCAGAAUGUGGCUGCUCAGGGCAACUGGUAGGCAGAGGGCAGCGAGGAGCCAGCCACAAGGUGGCCCAUCCUCUGUUCUACACAAACCUUUCCCACCUCUCCUGCUAGGAGAACAGCCAGUUCCCAUACAGAGAUGUCUAGAUAAACCUGUUCCUAUCCGCCACCCAUAAGGCUUUGCUUGGCCCAGACAUCCCUCGUGGGCAUUUAUUUUCAGCACUAACAUUUGACUUUAAUCUCAUGGGAAAUCUGACCCCUAGUCCCUCCCUCUCCUGGGAACCCCAUCUGGAAGACCAGUAUCCUAACCGGACGAUCAAUGUUUGUAAUGCACCUGGCACACAGUAGGAGGUCAACCAAUGCUAGAGCCCCCUGCUCCCCUUCGUUCAGAAGUCUGUGCCAAGCCCCUGAUUGUCCCAGGCCUGGAUGCCCAGCACAGGCACCCUCCUCUGAGGCCUUGAGGCAAACACACUAGAAGGGCCAGUGGGUGACUGCCACUAAGUCGUCUGAGAACUUGUCACAGCACUUGGCCUCUCAGCUAGAAAAGAGGGGGUUUGGUGGAUUUUAGGGGCAAGGGCAAUGCUCAUGUCAUAGCUUGAGCUGUUUGAUGACCUGUCCUUGGCCCAAGAGGGCUAGGCCUGGAGCCCCACCCAGGGCUCCCUCCAACCCUUCAGCCUCGGGGCCUGUCUGGUGUGCCAUCUUCCUAAUGAUUCACCAGGUGCCUCGGCAAAAAGCCUGGGAGCCAUACUGGGUCCUGGGAAGCAGAAGGCUACUUGGUCAGGCUGGACACCAGCAAUGCAUUACCCAGAAUUCCCGGUCCCUGGCGUCCAGUCCCCCUGGACCUGCCUCAUCCCCUUAGGCAGGCGUUUCCUGUUGAUAAGAAGCUCACUCACAAACACUGAUAAAGAGAUGAAAAGAGGAAAUUGACGGGCUUGGGGUAUAAUGGGCAUUUUGUCUGCCUUUACUACCCUCUUCCUUCUCCCAGCUCCCCUCCCCCACUGCUUCCCAGAAGCCAGGAGAAAACAUGUCCCCCACCUCUUCCUGGGCCCAACUUUGUAGUUUCCAGGAAUUUAGCCUCACACAGUCCUUAGAAGUAGGGCCCAGAUCGGGGGAGGGCGAGUUAGGAGCUCAGAGGCAGGAAGCCCUGGGCGCUAUGAGGCCACCAAGCCCAGGGGAAAGGGCUGGGGCAAGAGGAAGGAAGAAUGGUCAGGCACAGGUUUCACCUACCACUUUCUGUCUCCCCUCCCUCUCUCUCCCCCAGAGACCUGGGUCCAAGUCGUGGUUAGGUGGUUGCAGUCUAUAAUUAGUGAAUUUUCCAUAAUUUUAGUCUCAGGCUCAUUACUGGAAAAUCUCAUUAAUUUCAACUCUACUAAUUUGGAUCUAUGAUCCUUUAGGACAAGAACUGGACUGAUGUUUAGAAACAUAAACAAAAUAAACAAGUUUUCGAAGCAUGUCCGGCUUUCCUUCUUGGGUUUGGAUUUGUAAGCUCAGCUCCGCAGUUCUCAAGCGCUCCGCCUGCAGUUACAAUAACCUGCCACCGGGUGUGUGAUGAGGCUUCGCCCGACACUUGUGCUUGAGGCCCUCAUCUCUGCCAUUGCGCUGCUCACACCUGAUGGAAGGAGCCGAGUAGUGAAGAGACAAAGGUUUCGUCCUAGUCAAGGUUCCAGGCGAGGUUUUUGGUGGGUUUUUUUUUAGUAAUUCAAUAAAUUUAUUCUAAAUGUUA
This is a long non-coding RNA of Myotis brandtii (Brandt's bat), 2377 nucleotides long. RefSeq lists it as uncharacterized. NCBI's taxonomy places the organism in Eukaryota, Metazoa, Chordata, Mammalia, Chiroptera, Vespertilionidae. The record is from RefSeq and is a predicted model, not a curated record. The transcript is spliced from 2 exons.